AGGACGAACGCUGGCGGCGUGCUUAACACAUGCAAGUCGAGCGAGGCCCUUCCUUCGGGAAGGUGCCCUAGCGGCGAACGGGUGAGUAACACGUGGGCAACCUGCCCCUAGCACUGGGAUAACUCCGGGAAACCGGGGCUAAUACCGGAUAUGACCUUUGAGGGCAUCCUUGAAGGUGUAAAGGAUUCUGGCUAGGGAUGGGCCCGCGGCCUAUCAGCUUGUUGGUGGGGUAAUGGCCUACCAAGGCGACGACGGGUAGCCGGCCUGAGAGGGCGACCGGCCACACUGGGACUGAGACACGGCCCAGACUCCUACGGGAGGCAGCAGUGGGGAAUAUUGGACAAUGGGGGCAACCCUGAUCCAGCAAUGCCGCGUGUGUGAAGAAGGCCUUCGGGUUGUAAAGCGACUUUUAUCUGGAACGAACACGCAGGGUUAAUAGCUUUGCGGACUGACGGUACCAGAGGAAUAAGCACCGGCUAACGUCGUGCCAGCAGCCGCGGUAA
RNAcentral lists this ribosomal RNA (503 nucleotides) under uncultured bacterium. Its description in RNAcentral is "SSU rRNA". It matches the Rfam family "Bacterial small subunit ribosomal RNA", at positions 26 to 523 of the family's 1533-position model. The record is from RNAcentral.